RNAcentral lists this long non-coding RNA (10824 nucleotides) under Homo sapiens (human). RNAcentral's name for it is "HSALNT0292490". The record is from RNAcentral. Lineage: Eukaryota; Metazoa; Chordata; Mammalia; Primates; Hominidae.
GGUCUCGAUCACCUGACCUUGUGAUCCGCCCGCCUCGGCCUCCCAAAGUGCUGGGAUUACAGACGUGAGCCAACUGUUCGAUUUUUCCUUUCCGUAUUCUGUUUUUUGGAAGCGAGUCACUAAAUCCAGCCCACACAUUGGGGGGAAAGAAAUUGAGCUCCACCUCCCGGAGUGGGAAGCCACUCCUCAGACCAGGAUUAGAAGAUUUUUCUUAGGGCUUCUAUUUUCACCCAGUGCAUGGUUCUAGAUUUCAGGUCACCUUUGAGUCAAGGACACGAUGGGGGAAUCCUGGAGGAAAAAUCAACAGGAAAUUCACCAACAGUUUGCUCUUACUUGAAGUUGUUUCCUUGGCAGAUUCACCCACUAUCAUUUGCUUUUCAGAGUCCUUAGAUAGCUGCUCUAUGAUUUAUUUGCAGGGUUUUCAGUUGCUUUUAGUAGGAGCAAGACAGAGUGAAGGGUGCAUAUACCAUCUUGAUUGGAACCAGAAACCCCUCAUUUAUUUUUUAUUCUCCAAUUAUGUCACGUACUCCCAUUCACUCAUUCACAUAUCCCUCAUUCUUUUAUGCAUUAUUAUAUACCUGCUUAUAAAAUCAUACAUAUGUCAAUGAAUACCCCUGAUUUGACCACAUAAUCAGGUGUUAUGCUAGUCACUACAGAUACAGACAUGAAAUAUUGUUACUAUCUCAAAAAAUUCUUGGGCUACAAAGAAAACAGAUGAAUUAUUAGAUGUAAAUACAGUGGAAUGACUGCUAUGAUAUAUGGAAGCCCCAACUGCCUUAAAUGAGGGGAUCUGUAAGGAAACAGCCGCCUGGCUUCAGGAAGUUGUCUCCUUUGGGGACAAGUCAACGUGGGGUAGGCAAGCAUUUCACUUUGAGAGGACAGCAUGCACUGAGGCACUGGAUUAGGAAAUCAAGGGGGCACGUUUGAAGAAGUGGUGUCUUACCUCCAACCUAGGCCUCCCUGAGAUUUCAGGACAGGGGUAUGACUGAACACAAUCCUAGAGUGGAGCACGAGGACUCCUCCAAGGUCAUCCCUGAGUUUAGAAAAUUUACAUUUGGUGGUUGGUCUCUCCUAUCCUAUUCUCACCCAUCCUGGGAAGUUCCAUCUGCUUGGUUUUCUAUUAUUUGCAGUAGUGUAGGCUUUGUUUCAAGGACCCUGGCCAGUUUGUCAGAGGACAUGCACAUCAUCUAUGAAGGGCAGAAAAAGCAGCAGAGCCUGACUUUGCAGCUGCGUCUGAAAAAGGGUCAGAGUAACCUGGCUCCCACCCCGUGUUCAAGUCCAAGAGGACCCAAGUCCUGAGAUUGACCAGUUAUCCUCAAGAGCAUUCCAUCUGUCUCUUUUCUCCUCGAUUCCAACCCCUGGGGGCUAAGAUUCAUUCCCGCGAUACGUGCAGGUCCUACAGCCUCUCUGGCCCUUCCCCUGUGCUUGGCCAAUUCAUUCAGCCAUUUAUUCAUUCAUGCACGCGUGGAUGUAUCCAAGUGUAUUCCACUCAUAUUCUAUGCCAGACCUUGGUUUCACCAUCCCUUUCCUAUGAAAAUUUUGUUUUGCCUUCUACGCUAUUUCCAUUUUUUCUACCUCAAUGAUUAUUUCUUCCACUUUCUUUUGUUGGAUUCUAUUUCUUUCUCUACUCUAUAAACGUGGAUGGACCACCUUUGAACUGUUCUCAUAAUCCGCCCUACUCCCACAUUCUUUAGCCCUGCUGUACUCACAGCCAAGGCAGCUGUGCAGUCCAGUGGUGAGACAGGGAAGGGAUGCAAGCGUUUUACUCAGUCACUUAGUCUGCCUGCCAGAGCCUCAAUUCCAGUAGCUGGGAUUUUCCCCUUAUUUCUGAGACAUUAAUGGGAUCCCUAGUUAUAGUCAUCUCUUGUGCUUGUGUCCCCUGUCCCUAAAUUUCUCCCUUGAAAAUGUGUUGGGCUCUUGCUGCUCCUAGCCUUUUGUUUCCUCCUAUAAUUGGAGCUCCUUCACCUGCAAACUCAACACCAGGGCCAGCCCCCCAUCUUGGAACACAGAAUCAGUUCCCUGUGGAUCUGGUCCAGUCUUCACUGCAUGCUUCAGUAUAAAGAGAAAAGCACAAACUGGGGUCAGAUUCAUCUGUGCUCCAAUUCAAAAUUGUGUGAGGCAAGUUGUGCAACUCUUUGAUCUCAGUUUUCUUAUUGUAAAAUUGACCACAGGCAAAAUUUCUGUUAUCUACUUUCUGUUAUCUACCUAUCUUAUCUAUCUAUCUACCUAACAAAACCCUAUGUUUAUAUAGAUAUCAAGUAAUCACAAACUUCUGGGGAGGAGGUUGAAGCCCCCAGUGGGUUAAUCUUGAUCUAAGCCAAUCAAAGUAAUUCCUUUAUUUUGCCAACAACUGCUUUAAGUAUGUGCAUGUGUUGAAAUUCUGGCCAAUGAGGCAUGAGGGGUAUGUUUGCUGGGAGACACAGGGAAAGCAUUUCUGCAAAAGAAAAAGGAGCCUCAGGGAAAGAAACACAUACUUUUCUGCCCCAGAAUGUUGUUAUCUUAUGUGAUGCCUGGGCUGUGUUAGCCAUUGCAUGAGGCUGCAUGUGGCAGACCAAAAGGACAUGCCAUUCCCCCGGGGGAAUGGCAAGGUAGAUUAAUGAGAAAACCUGGUUCUGGAUAACACUGUUAAGCCGCUUAAUCAACCCUGAAACUCUGCCUCCUCCAGUCUUCUUAUUGCAUAAGACUUUUUUUUUUUUUUUGUUUAAGUCAUUUUUAGUUGAGUUAAUGCUACUCACAGGCAAAACUAUUCUGAUAUACGGCAUUAGAAUACCUAUCUUACCAUGUUCAAAUAAGAGACUCUCUGCUCAUCUUUUAGAUCUCAGUCCAAAUGUCACCUCCUCAAGAAAGUCUUCCCUGAUUGUUCAUCCGAGCUCACAUUGUUCUGUCAUACAUUUGCCAUUAGCACUGUGUAUCGUUCCUUCUUUUCUUUCAUAGCACUGACGAGCGUUUGUUUAUCUGGUUAUUCACCCUCUCCCUCACUAAUCUAUAAGCUCUGGGAAGGCUGGCAGUGUUUCUUUUGCUGACCACUGUGUCUCUUGUAGCUAGAAUGGUGCCCAACAUGUAAUUGGUUCUUAAAUAUUUGUUAAAGAAUAAAAAUUAAUACAUGAAUAUCAAUAGGAAAAAAAACUGGUACAUAGCAGGAAAGUUUAUCUUUGUGUCCUUUCUGAGACUGAAAGUUGAUCAACUCUCUCCUUUUUUUCAUGUUGACAGAUGACUUUGUACCCAGUCAUUGGCUGAUGUGUUUCAAAACAACUUUAAAUGUACUUUGAAAUGCGCCAUUAUUUCAUCCCCUCAGGAGCCGGUGCAAUUCCCGCCACCCCUUGCUACUAUUCUUUCAGCAUUCAUGACAGUCAAGCAAACCCUUUCUUUGAUUUUUCUUCCUCUACAGGCUCUAGGUGACUGAUUAGUCAUUACUUGUGAAUAAUGGCCAGGGAGGUUGCUGAGCCAUGGAGGAAUCUGGCCACCUGGCCACUGAGCACUCAGCUCUCAGCUAGUAAGAUAAAAGCAAUUUUGCCACCAACACCAUCCUAAUAGGAUGUCCAAAGAGUUUCCUUCCACUGUUCAGUAGGGACCAUGAGGAUCAUGAAUGGAAGGUGAUAUGAGGGUUUGGGGAGGAAUAAACUGGAACAGCUUGUCAUCCCUCAGGAGUAUUUCGGAAACAAGCCAGCACACCAUGGUAAUUUAUUUUUGUGACACAUUAGUUUGCCUUGGAGGGAGAAAGUAUGAGAGUUUGGAGAGUUAGAGUUUACAGGGAGAGGGGCAGAGCUUAUCCUUAGUUCUCUCUUAUCCACUGACAUGGAACAACAAGGAUGGAUGGCAUUAGUAACAAUAAUAAAAAUUACAGGCUCAAAGGAAAUGGAGUUGACAGCAGAGAGUACACAUGGUUAGUUAUCUAGUCCAGCAUUUCUCAGAAGAUAUUUGGCAGAGCACAAGUCUCUCAAAUGCCCUUUGCUAAAAGGUUCAUGGUUAAAUUACUGUUCUUGGAGAACAGCAUGCACUUACUUGUCCACCACCCCACCCCCAGCCCUUUUGACUGUACUUUGCUCAGUAAAUAGGAAGGUCCCUGCAUUAUAAAUAAAUCAACUGGCUUUGUCUAACCCAGUGUUCUGGUGUUCAUUUCACCAAGGAAACCCUUAUUUUAAAAAAUGAAUAUUAACAGCUUCUGGAAGGAAGAUAUUUUAGGAAAUGCUGAUGUGAGCAAGGGUGGUUACUAGGUACUCUUAUCUAAUAUUUACUGAGAAAUUUAUUUAUUCAUUCAUUUAUUAGAGAAAGAUAUAUUGAGAGACUCCUUUGUGUAACGUAAUGGGCUGGGAGCAACGAACACAGAUUUGGCCAAUGCCUGCCUGAAGCUUAUAAUCUAGUGCACAAGACGAAAUCAAUUUCCCAAUUAAUUUCUUUUUUAUUACUGUGGUGAGUCUACAAUGAGGAGCGUAAGAUAUAUGUAAAUUUAAAUAAUGGUAUAAAAUAGAUGGUUAGGGGUAACCAGGGAAGCCAUGCUGGUUGUCCGGGACCGGGGAUGUCCUGUGAUGGGUGACUUUCAGUUCUAAAACAAAGACAGUCCUGGGCAAAUCAGAAUGGUUGCUUACCCUAAUAGACCAUGACUCCUGGAGUGCCAUCUGAAAAUCUUAUUAUGGCAGAGAGAACUCUGCCAGGCCGGAGACCUGUUCUCUGGGGUUGCUUCAGCUCCCUGAGCCUGACUUUCUGUCUCUGGGGAGUGGAGGUGAUGAAGUCUCCUUUCUCUUAUGUUUUUUGGGAAUAACAAGUGGAGUGAUUCCUAUAGAAAGCCUUUACCAGAUAUCACACGCUUCCUAAGCACAAGGGAUGAGUAUUCCUUUAGGGAAACUGUAGUUUGUCACUCCUUGAAGGAAAGCCCCUAUUUCUCCAGAAGAGGGUUUUCAGAGCACAUCUCUCGCCACACAUCCAGGUUUCUAAAUCCUCCAGCAAGAAGCGUUUUUCACAGAUCCAAGAACAGAAGCACCUGCGUAAGUUCACAUGGGAGGUGUAAAUCAUGGAGGGGAGCCAUUGAGAUGCUUCAAGACAGCACUUCCUCCAGGCCAGAGAAGGCCUCAGCCCAAGAAGCAGCUUCCUGCUGCUAGGCAGGGUGGGGACAGAGGGCAGUGCCUGGCCUCUGCAGAACCAAAGAGCAGGCUUGCAGUGGGCUUGUGUACUCAGGCGAGUCUCAUGAUCUUCUGGGGUUUUAAUGUCUUCCUCCGUAAGGUGGGAAUAUUGAUUUUUAUUUCAUCCAAUUAUUGGGAACUUUAUACUACUGCUACUAAUAUAGUCAGAAUUUAAUGAAUUUACCAUGCACUAGAAAUUGUGCCAUGUGUUUACAUAUACAUUUAAUCACCACAAAAAGUAGAUUUGGUUAUCUUCCAUCUGACAAAUGUAAAAAAUGGGGCUUAGAGAGGUUAGGAGGCUUGCCAAGGUAGGGUGACCAAUUGUCAUUGUUUGCCCAGGACCAAAAGUCCCACAUCGUGGGCAAUCCCUUAGCCCCAGGGAACCUGGGAUGGUUGGUCAAGCUAGAAAAUCAUACAAUUAGCAAGUAGUGGAGCUGAUAUAUAUUUGAGGUAGAAGAUUAUUUGUUAAAAUUGCUAAAAACACAACCAGCAACAAUUAUUAUUGCCAUUUUAUAUAGUAUGUAUAUAUCAUAUGCUUAUAUAUAAUGUAUACAUAAGAUACAUCAUAUUAUUAAUAUAGUAACACUCAUUAUUUGAUGAACUGCAAUUUCAGUAUAAACAAAGGGCUUCUAGCCUUCUAAGAAAGCCCCUUUCCAUUAAUAAUGCUCAUCUAACAUUAGUGCUACUCAUCAGUAUUUAUAGUUUUCUUCUUUCUGUGCCCAGAACCUUUGAUCUCAGGCAUGACCAGGUGAUUUGUUUUGACCAAUGAAAUGUGAGUGCAAGAGAUGUGCAUCACUUCGGGGCAGAAACAUGCAAGAAUCAGGGUGCAAUUUUUCAUCUUCCUUGCAGUAAAUGCUGAUGGUGCCUCUCCCAUAUCAUUUUUGCUGGCUGGGACACACUCCUCAGCUGCUGUGAGGGUUGGGGUGCUAACAGAUCAUAACUGUCUCUGCUCAGCAGGGUUAAGAGCACCAAAUCCGGAGUCAGGCCACCUAGUUCAAGUCCAGCUCUGACAUGAAAGGCUGUGUGCCCCUAGGCAAGUUGCUUAACAUCUCUGAGCCUUAGUUUUCUUAUCUCUAUAAGGGAGAAUUCCUACCUUAUACCGUUGAUGUGAGGAUUAUAUGAGUAAUGCUUUUAAGACUCUUGUAACAGUUUGGCACAUAGUAAGCCCUAAGGUUGGCUGUUUUUAUUUCUCCUGCUUUACUUGUUCUCUAGCAUAGUAUGACAGUGCAUACCAAGGUUCCUCAUAUGUUGCUCAAAAGACAAUUUUGAUUAACAUGUGGAGAGCCGAAUUCCAGAGAUGCUGAGCAAUUUCUUCAGCAUCACAUGGGGCUUAAUACUGGAGUUUGAAUAAGAACCAAGACAGGAGAAUGAGAGUAAUAACAACAAGUCAGCAAUUACUAUUCACUAGGUACUGCAUUAUCUCAUUUAAUCUUCACAAAAGCAUCUGAGUGGGACAUUAUUAUAACCUUCAUUUUACAGAUGUGGAAAUAGAAGCAAAAAAGGUGAAGUAAAUUUUUACUGUUAGUAGGUAGUGGCAGAGUUAGAAAAAAUAGAAAUUUGAUAUUUUAGGAUGAACUAUUAUUUAGCAACAAAAAUGGGAACUGUAAUUACUAUGUUUAAACAAUGUGUUGAGUAUUAGUUUCUGUUUAGAAGAGUAAACAUGAUUGCUUAUUUAUUUAUACAAGUAUUACAUACAACAUACACUAUUUUAUACUUUGCUCUUUAUAAAGUGACCUUUUAAUUUUAAGAAUAUCUAGAUUUGCAGAAAGAUUGCAAAAAUAGUACAGAGAGUUCUCACCUACCCUUUGCCUGACUUUCCGCAAGGUUAAUAUCUUACAUUACAAUGGUGCACUUGUCAAAACCAUGGAAUUAACAUUGGUACAUUACUAUUAACUAAAAUCCAGACUUUAUUUGGAUUUUGCCAGUUUUUCCACUAAUGCUCUUUGUCUAUUCCAGGGUCUAGUCCAAAGACUACCAAAUCUUAAGUGAACAAAAAGCCUUGGCGAUGAUGUAAAAGUUUGUUUGCUAAUGGAAUAAAGAUUUGAUAUUAGGGCAGUGUAAUUAUAGGUGAUAUUUUUUCCUAUGUUUAAAGCUUUAACACUUUUGUUACAUUAACUAUUUAGGAGAUGUUAUUAUUGGAAGCCUCCUGUACUGUGAGAGGCUGGCAUUGUCCAACUCAAACCAAGUUGUGGACUGGAAGAAGCACAAAUUAUCUGCUGGACCCAUGGGAGAUGAACAAUGAAACCAAGAAGAAGGUACUGAGGAGUACAGAGAAGCAGUAUUCAGCCCAGCCCUGGGGGUGGUGACCAGUGGAAGUCAUGAAAGGCUUCCUGGAGGAGGUGAUACUUGAACCAGACACUGGCACUGGACACCUGAGGAGCAUGUGAAUGUCCAGACACUGCUGGCUCUCUGUACACGUGUGGUGUCUCCAGGGCCCCGGGCAAGCCUCUGAAGGUCACAGGAGUAAGUGAGCUGCUAGCAGCAAACAUAAGCAGGAGGGAUCCCAGAACGUGAGGGCAGGGGCGGAGUCGAGGAAACAAAUAGUGCCCAGCAUGCUGGCCUUCUUUUAGUUCACUGAAUGCUCCCAGCUGUCUGCUUCCUACCUGAGGCCCUUCGUACCUGCUGCACAACUGCCCGGAACCCUCUCUAGCCCAUUUCAUAUGGCUAACUUCUCUCAUCCUUUCCAUCACAGCUAAAUGCCAUUUCCCCAGAGAAGCAGUCUGACCCUCAAGACUUGAUUAGGCCCAUCUAUUAUUUGUUCUCAAUGCAACCUACAUUUUCCUGCCUGCGACUUCAUAGCAAAUUGUAAGUAAUUAUGUAUGUAAUUAGUCCCCAUGUAUUAGGCAGAAUUCUGUCAUAUGCAAAUGACAGAAAACUCAAACUAGCUGGAACGAAAAGAGUGGAAUGUCUUGGGUAGCUGGAAAGGGUGUGAGUGCGACUCAGAAUGGAAGGACAGACGGAUUGCAGCCACCGGGGCCUCAGGGAGAGGACAGGGUCUCCACACAGUCAGAUUCUUUCUCUCUCCUCAUCUCUGAGGUUUGCUUGACCUCCUCUGCUAAUACUGCACAUAUGGAGGGAACAUGGUCACUGGCAUCUCCAGGUCCACACCUCACAGCUGCUGGAAAGGUGUGAUCCCCCUGCAUGAGUCAAAUACCCACCCACAGAACUGUCUCCACCUAGGACGUGGAGAUGGGCUACUGUGAAUGGCUGGGCCGUGGUCAUGUGCUCACCCUGCUCAGCACUGCCACUGAGAGGGCCCUCAGUGUCACAUGACCUGGAAGGGCAGUGCUACUCCUCAAAGGAUGUGUUAGGGUGCGGCAGGCCCACAACAUUUGUAUCUUUUUUAAUGCUAUAUCCCCCACAAAUACUUACAGAUAUUUUCUACUAGGUGUCAGCCACUGUUCUAGGUAGUAGAGGAUAUGAAAGUAAAAUCUAAGUUCUUGCUUGCAUUAGAGCUUAUACUGGAAUGGGGGAAGACAGAAAGCAAGCAUGUUAAUAAUCACAAAUGUCUCAGGUGGUGAUAUGUGCUCUGGAGAAGAACAAAACCGGGUACAGAGGGUGGGGGAUGGUGAAGGGACACUAUAUUCCGCAGCAUGGUUAGAGAUGGCAUGUUGAAAGUGGCACAGGCAGUACCAGAUGGUGAGGCUCUUCCGUGUUGUUCUGAUGGAUUGGAACUGAGUCCUCCUGCCCGGCUUUCUCCCUCCUUUUCUUCUCUCCCUUCCUCUGUUCAUUCUUUUGCAGUUUUUCUUAAAAUGUAGUCUUUAGAUUGUAUGUAUCAGAAUACCCACUGGGGGCAGGAUACUUGUCAAAAAUGCAGGUUCCCAGGCCUCUCCCAAGACCCAGAGAUUCAGACUCUCCGAGGUGAGGCCUGAGAAUCUGAAUCAUUAACCAGCUCUCCAGGCGGCUCUUAGGCACAUUCACAUUUGACAACUAUUCUCUGAGGUGGUAAUGAGAUAAGAGAGGCUCUGAAUAGGGAAGAAAACUGAUCUCACUUGUGUUUUAGAAAGAUAGGUCUGAAAUCUACACAGAGGGUGGCUGCAGGCCCAGAGACUGGGCUGUUGUCGAGGUCCCAGAGACCAAGAGAAAACAUGUGGCCAGAGGUGCUGGGACAGAGAGAAUGUUUAGGUGACAAAUGGAAAGGAACUGGUGACUGCUUGAGUGUGGGGAUGAAGGAGAAGAAGUGGUUCAAAGGCUUCCUCUGGUCUGACUAGGGUAUGUGGGGGUAGCAAUACCAUUCACCCAAAUGGGAAGUGCAAACAUCGCUGACACUGCACUUCUUUAUUUAAAUACUCUACAACCAAGAAGUAAUUUUAGAGUCCCAUAUUAGAGGAGUAGCUUUUGACUACAUUGAGCAGUUGGAUACAAACGUUCUUAAUUGUUUAUUUUCUUUCUUAUCUUCCUAGUAUUUCUACUUUUUUGAGCUUCUGAACCUUUACCCAAAAGGAGUUGGUGUUAACGACUUGUUUUUGUAAUCUCUGAUAUUAGUGUGAUUCAUUUGCCAAGGGGAGACCAUUAAGAAGGAGCCAACUUCAUCUCCAUGGCAUGGAGUGAGAGGUGGGGAAUGAUACUGAAGAGCUAAGAGAUUCAAUGCACUAAGAAUAUGGUGACCAGAACUUCUGGUUGUUCCAACUGGGAAUCUUGGGUGAAGUUGGCUGCUCUGUUGGAGAAAGCUCCCCAUUCCCACAUACCUGUAUAGAAUCCUGUAGGAUAGGGGAUAUUUCCUUAUCUCUCUUCACUCUCCUCCAAAGCUCCAAUGGAUGUAUUCUAGGUACAACUAGCUAAUAAUUGAGUGUAAGAAUUAUAUUAGAUAAUGCUUAAAAAAUUCUUGGCACUCCAUGCCACUCCACUUCAUUUCCUCAAUGAAGGAGGCUGGGCAGAUAUUACUAGCCUCCUUCUACACAUUCAGAGAAAUGAAGUGACUUGCCUGCGAUCACAGAGCCAAGAUAAAGAUCUGGCUUCAAAUCUUGGCCAGUUGUAUUUUAAAGUUUCUGUGUUUUUCACCACAGAGUAGGUGAGGCUGGGCAAACUGUGAGGACCUCAGUUAAACAGGCUGGUGCUGGGGAUGGCUUCUAUGCCAGGAGGAAAGAUCAUGACUAGUCUGAGAAGCUGAAGCAGCAGCCAUCUGAUCCUCUACUCCAUGGUGGCCCUUUCCAGACUACAGACUGUGGUUUCUCUGCUCAUCAGCAAUCAAAUCUAAAUUAUCUCCGAUAUUUGUUCAAUAACUCAGACGUGCUAAGGUUAGCUGUCUUAUAAAUUAUGGAACAGUUUAACUGAGUUAAGCCUGAGGCAUAAAUAACAGAGACUCUCCACCCAGUGACAGGGCACAAGGCUGGAGGCAGCAAAAACACAGUAAUAGUGACAGAAAAAAGGACUAUCUUCCUCUUUUAGGAGAAGCCUGACAGGGAGGAGGAAAGUAGAUGAGAAGGGGGCUAGGCAGGAGGGAAUUCCAGGACGAGGGGAUGACAGAGCAAAGGAAACAGGCCCUGGGGAAGAGGAGGAGCUUUGUGGAGGCAGAAGCUCAGUUUACUGGUGAACAUGAAAUCAUCCUUGGGGGUGUCUGUGGGACGUCCAGUGGAGGUGUCUGAUGAGUGCCUGAACACAUGGGUUACCGCUUCUCUGUUAAAAUGUGGGAAACAGCUAUAAUGCAUAAGAUAUGAGUGGUAGCUACGACCAUGGGGGAAAAACAAGGUCAUGGAAAGCAUAUAGA